AGGUUUAGUUGCUCUCAGGCAUGGAAGAUAAAGGGCACCUACUGAACACUUCCCGUCUGGAGCUACAUGUAGCAUAAAGAGAGAAUGAACCUACAGGAGCUCAUCAUUAAUAUAAGUGUUGUUCCACUUCACAGUUGACCAAGAACUACUGUCACCACUGCCAAUGACAAGUGUGUAACUAAAGGCACACAUGCUCUUAGGAUGGACACCUGUAAGCCAAAGAGAGAACGACUGGCAGGACCAUCAACUACUAUUUAAAUGCUACAGUUACGAACUGAAUUUGAAAAGGCAACUUGAAGCCAGAGAAGAGAGCAGGAUAUUGCCAUGACAAGCUCUUGGAAGAAUUAUUUUAG
RNAcentral lists this long non-coding RNA (353 nucleotides) under Castor canadensis (American beaver). Its description in RNAcentral is "lncRNA (ENSCCNG00000010616.1)". Lineage: Eukaryota; Metazoa; Chordata; Mammalia; Rodentia; Castoridae. The record is from RNAcentral.